RNAcentral lists this ribosomal RNA (638 nucleotides) under Enterococcus faecalis. Its description in RNAcentral is "partial 23S ribosomal RNA". It matches the Rfam family "Bacterial large subunit ribosomal RNA", at positions 332 to 969 of the family's 2925-position model. The record is from RNAcentral. Lineage: Bacteria; Bacillati; Bacillota; Bacilli; Lactobacillales; Enterococcaceae.
GUUGAAGGAUUUGGAAAAUUCCGCUAAAGAGGGUGAAAGCCCCGUAGACGAAAUGCUGACAACACCUAGGAGGAUCCUGAGUACGGCGGAACACGAGAAAUUCCGUCGGAAUCCGCGGGGACCAUCCCGCAAGGCUAAAUACUCCCUAGUGACCGAUAGUGAACCAGUACCGUGAGGGAAAGGUGAAAAGCACCCCGGAAGGGGAGUGAAAUAGAUCCUGAAACCGUGUGCCUACAACAAGUCAAAGCUCGUUAAUGAGUGAUGGCGUGCCUUUUGUAGAAUGAACCGGCGAGUUACGAUUGCAUGCGAGGUUAAGUCGAAGAGACGGAGCCGCAGCGAAAGCGAGUCUGAAUAGGGCGAAUGAGUAUGUAGUCGUAGACCCGAAACCAUGUGAUCUACCCAUGUCCAGGUUGAAGGUGCGGUAAAACGCACUGGAGGACCGAACCCACGUACGUUGAAAAGUGCGGGGAUGAGGUGUGGGUAGCGGAGAAAUUCCAAACGAACUUGGAGAUAGCUGGUUCUCUCCGAAAUAGCUUUAGGGCUAGCCUCGGAAUUGAGAAUGAUGGAGGUAGAGCACUGUUUGGACUAGGGGCCCAUCUCGGGUUACCGAAUUCAGAUAAACUCCGAAUGCCAUUCAU